GCAAUAUGAUAAUGUUGCAUACUUGCAUUACCAAAAACCAGCCACUAUGCACAACCAAUACUAAGCAACAUAGACUACUCCAUUAGUAAAUGCUGAUUCACAGCCAUAACCAUGUAGAAAACAAGGCUUUUAGCAGCUACAUCAUGAAAAUAUAUCCUGUCCUUAUAGAAGUGUAGUGACCCUGGCAGAGGGUAAUCUAGCAAGUAUCAACUUCAAGUUUAAUAAGAGAGUAGUUUAUUUUGCAGUUUGUUACUUCAAUGAUGAACACUUUCACUUGCAUAACAAUUCACAUAUUCAGGACCCAAAGUUCACC
This 313-nucleotide long non-coding RNA is filed under the name Trifolium pratense (red clover). RNAcentral describes it as "long non-coding RNA (TPRA_LNC003588)". Lineage: Eukaryota; Viridiplantae; Streptophyta; Magnoliopsida; Fabales; Fabaceae. The record is from RNAcentral.